GUUUGAUCCUGGCUCAGGAUGAACGCUAGCUACAGGCUUAACACAUGCAAGUCGAGGGGAAACGACAUCGAAAGCUUGCUUUUGAUGGGCGUCGACCGGCGCACGGGUGAGUAACGCGUAUCCAACCUGCCCACCACUUGGGGAUAACCUUGCGAAAGUAAGACUAAUACCCAAUGACGUCUCUAGAAGACAUCUGAAAGAGAUUAAAGAUUUAUCGGUGAUGGAUGGGGAUGCGUCUGAUUAGCUUGUUGGCGGGGUAACGGCCCACCAAGGCGACGAUCAGUAGGGGUUCUGAGAGGAAGGUCCCCCACAUUGGAACUGAGACACGGUCCAAACUCCUACGGGAGGCAGCAGUGAGGAAUAUUGGUCAAUGGGCGAGAGCCUGAACCAGCCAAGUAGCGUGCAGGAUGACGGCCCUAUGGGUUGUAAACUGCUUUUAUAAGGGAAUAAAGUGAGUCUCGUGAGACUUUUUGCAUGUACCUUAUGAAUAAGGACCGGCUAAUUCCGUGCCAGCAGCCGCGGUAAUACGGAAGGUCCGGGCGUUAUCCGGAUUUAUUGGGUUUAAAGGGAGCGUAGGCCGGAGAUUAAGCGUGUUGUGAAAUGUAGACGCUCAACGUCUGCACUGCAGCGCGAACUGGUUUCCUUGAGUACGCACAAAGUGGGCGGAAUUCGUGGUGUAGCGGUGAAAUGCUUAGAUAUCACGAAGAACUCCGAUUGCGAAGGCAGCUCACUGGAGCGCAACUGACGCUGAAGCUCGAAAGUGCGGGUAUCGAACAGGAUUAGAUACCCUGGUAGUCCGCACGGUAAACGAUGGAUGCCCGCUGUUGGUCUGAAUAGGUCAGCGGCCAAGCGAAAGCAUUAAGCAUCCCACCUGGGGAGUACGCCGGCAA
This 890-nucleotide ribosomal RNA is filed under the name uncultured bacterium. RNAcentral describes it as "bacterial SSU rRNA". It matches the Rfam family "Bacterial small subunit ribosomal RNA", at positions 11 to 891 of the family's 1533-position model. The record is from RNAcentral.